GUCCAACUAACGAGUCCAAAGUAGGGCGAAACGCGCAUCCUGGAU
This 45-nucleotide non-coding RNA is filed under the name Schistosoma margrebowiei. Lineage: Eukaryota; Metazoa; Platyhelminthes; Trematoda; Strigeidida; Schistosomatidae. The record is from RNAcentral.